ACUCAAAGGAAUUGACGGGGGCCCGCACAAGCGGUGGAGCAUGUGGUUUAAUUCGACGCAACGCGAAGAACCUUACCAGGGCUUGACAUCCACAGAACUCGUUGGAAACAAAGAGGUGCCCUUCGGGGAGCUGUGAGACAGGUGGUGCAUGGUUGUCGUCAGCUCGUGUCGUGAGAUGUUGGGUUAAGUCCCGCAACGAGCGCAACCCCUAUCUUUAGUUGCUAACAGGUAGAGCUGAGCACUCUAGAGAGACUGCCGGUGACAAACCGGAGGAAGGUGGGGAUGACGUCAAAUCAUCAUGCCCCUUAUGUCCUGGGCUACACACGUGCUACAAUGGCCGGUACAGACGGUUGCGAAGCUGUGAAGUGGAGCUAAUCCGAGAAAGCCGGUCUCAGUUCGGAUUGUAGGCUGCAACUCGCCUACAUGAAGUCGGAAUCGCUAGUAAUCGCAGGUCAGCAUACUGCGGUGAAUACGUUCCCGGGCCUUGUACACACCGCCCGU
This 501-nucleotide ribosomal RNA is filed under the name uncultured bacterium. RNAcentral's name for it is "partial 16S ribosomal RNA". It matches the Rfam family "Bacterial small subunit ribosomal RNA", at positions 899 to 1397 of the family's 1533-position model. The record is from RNAcentral.